Molecule: ribosomal RNA, 301 nt
Filed under: uncultured bacterium
Lineage: Bacteria
Description: partial 16S ribosomal RNA
Rfam family: Bacterial small subunit ribosomal RNA
Source: RNAcentral
CAGCCGCCGCGGUAAUACGAAGGGUGCAAGCGUUAAUCGGAAUUACUGAGCGUAAAGCGCACGUAGGCGGCUUGGUAAGUUAGAGGUGAAAGCCCGGAGCUCAACUCCGGAAUUGCCUUUAAGACUGCCGAGCUAGUAGGUGAGAGAGGUAAGUGGAAUUCCGAGUGUAGAGGUGAAAUUCGUAGAUAUUCGGAAGAACACCAGUGGCGAAGGCGGCUUACUGGCUCAUUCUAGACGCUGAGGUGCGAAAGCGUGGGGAGCAAACAGGAUUAGAUACCCGUGUAGUCCCUGUCUCUUAUAA